RNAcentral lists this small RNA (27 nucleotides) under Bombyx mori (domestic silkworm). RNAcentral's name for it is "ovarian small RNA-11823". The record is from RNAcentral. Lineage: Eukaryota; Metazoa; Arthropoda; Insecta; Lepidoptera; Bombycidae.
AGACAUAUCAAAAUGUGCGAGUGCUUU